AAUCAACGCUGGUGGCGUGCCUCAGACAUGCAAGUCGAACGCGAAAGGCCCCUUCGGGGGCCCGGUAGAGUGGCGCACGGGUGAGUAACACGUAGGUAACUUGCCUUCGGGUGGGGAAGUAACAGCCGGAAACGGCUGCUAAUACCGCAUAAUGCAGCGGCUCGACAUCGAGACAGUUGUUAAAGCGGGGGAUCGCAAGACCUCGCGCCUGAAGAGAAGCCUGCGGCAGAUUAGCUUGUUGGUGAGGUAAUGGCUCACCAAGGCGACGAUCUGUAACCGGCCUGAGAGGGCGGUCGGUCACACUGACACUGACAUACGGGUCAGACUCCUACGGGAGGCAGCAGUCGGGAAUUUUGGGCAAGUGGGCGAAAGCCUCGACCCAGCAACGCCGCG
This 393-nucleotide ribosomal RNA is filed under the name uncultured bacterium. RNAcentral's name for it is "bacterial SSU rRNA". It matches the Rfam family "Bacterial small subunit ribosomal RNA", at positions 32 to 401 of the family's 1533-position model. The record is from RNAcentral.